ACAUUUGCUCCAUCCUUGAGCUCCAUAGCCCCGCCGCCACCUGCUACUGACGCGUGUCCCGCCUCCAAGCCCAUGGCCCUGCCUUCCUCAGUCCACCUGUCACCCCGCUCACCACCAGCUGUUGAUGUUUGCUCCGCCCUUGAGCCCCAUGACUACGUCCACUGCCUGCUGUUCGGAUUUGCUCAGUCCUUGAGCCCCAUGGCCCCGCCCACUGCUCCGCCCCCCCCAGUCCCGCCCUCAUUCCCUGGGCUCUCUAUUCCCCUCCCUCCCUGGCCUGGCAGAGCUGGACCUGCAGCGGACGCUGAGUUUGCAGGCGCCACCUGUGAAGGAGGGGCCACUCUUCAUCCACAGGACCAAGGGCAAGGGCCCCCUCAUGUCCUCCUCCUUCAAGAAGCUCUACUUCUCCCUCACUACCGAGGCCCUCAGCUUCCCGAAGACGCCCAGCUCCAAGGGCUCUGGUGGCGGCAGCGGCGGACACUUGGGGUCUGGACGCAACGGCGGCGGGAGCAUGAAAGCCCUUCCAGCCUUCGAGUCGUUCUUGCUCUUCGAGGGCGAGAAGAAGUAAGUGACGCCGGCUGCGGCGGGCCGAGGUGCGCGGGCCUGCGGCUGUCGCAUUCUGGGGUGUCUCCUGCCCAUCUCUUUCCCCGGGAGGGAAACAGCUUUUGCUUGAUCGUCCGCUCGGCCUGUGUCAGCCAAAUUUAAGGCCGUUCCGCGAGGCAGUCGCGAGUGUGUCCAUUUUGCAGAUGAGGACACUGAGGCUUGGAGGCGAGCAAGUUGCCCCGGACACAGGAAGUGGCGGCGCUUGUAUUCGAACCCAGAGUGUCUGGUUCUCCAUAGCCCUUUUCCUCUGGGAUCUGGCAGCUUCCUCUUUUGUCUCUCGCCCGCCACCUCCAUCCUUCAUCCCCUCCGAUCUGUCAGCGGCCUGCGUAAAAGCCGCGGUGGCUCCUCGCUGCCUGCGGGUUGAAGGAGUCCAGGGGAGAGAGCUUGGGCUCACUCUGUAUCUGUGGGCGAGUGGCUUGAUCUGUCGGAGGCCCUGUUUCCUCAUCUGGAAAAUGAGUUUAUUACUGUACUUAAACGUGGGAUUCAGGCCGGGUGCGGUGGCUGACACCUGUAAUCC
This 1117-nucleotide long non-coding RNA is filed under the name Pan troglodytes (chimpanzee). RNAcentral's name for it is "lncRNA (ENSPTRG00000053191.1)". Lineage: Eukaryota; Metazoa; Chordata; Mammalia; Primates; Hominidae. The record is from RNAcentral.